This 760-nucleotide ribosomal RNA is filed under the name uncultured Porphyromonas sp. RNAcentral describes it as "bacterial SSU rRNA". It matches the Rfam family "Bacterial small subunit ribosomal RNA", at positions 28 to 776 of the family's 1533-position model. Lineage: Bacteria; Pseudomonadati; Bacteroidota; Bacteroidia; Bacteroidales; Porphyromonadaceae. The record is from RNAcentral.
GAUGAACGCUAGCGAUAGGCUUAACACAUGCAAGUCGAGGGGUAACGUGUUGGAAGCUUGCUUCCGAUGACGACGACCGGCGGAUGGGUGCGUAACGCGUAUGCAACUUGCCUCACAGUGGAGAAUAACCCGGAGAAAUCCGGACUAAUGUUCCAUACACUCUUAAGUACGCCUGUACAUGAGAGGAAAGAUUUAUCGCUGUGAGAUAGGCAUGCGUCCUAUUAGGUAGUUGGUGAGGUAACGGCUCACCAAGCCGACGAUAGGUAGGGGUGCUGAGAGGCAGAUCCCCCACAUUGGGACUGAGACACGGCCCAAACUCCUACGGGAGGCAGCAGUGAGGAAUAUUGGUCAAUGGAGGAAACUCUGAACCAGCCAAGUCGCGUGAAGGAAGAAUGUCCUAAGGAUUGUAAACUUCUUUAGCGAGCGAGUAAGGACUUCCACGUGAUGGGAGUUUGAAAGUAGCUCGAGAAUAAGUAUCGGCUAACUCCGUGCCAGCAGCCGCGGUAAUACGGAGGAUACGAGCGUUAUCCGGAUUUAUUGGGUUUAAAGGGUGCGCAGGUGGUCUUGCAAGUCAGUGGUGAAAAGCUGAGGCUCAACCUCAGCCUUGCCGUUGAAACUGCAAGACUUGAGAGUACAUGAUGUGGGCGGAAUGCGUAGUGUAGCGGUGAAAUGCAUAGAUAUUACGCAGAACUCCGAUUGCGAAGGCAGCUCACAAAGGUAUAUCUGACACUGAGGCACGAAAGCGUGGGGAGCGAACAGG